CAGCUAUGGAAUUACACACAGCUUUCAUUUCUAAAGGCCGUCUUGAAGAAAAUUAAACCAGAAAGAUCAAGAAAGUCUCGCUUUUGUCACGCAGGCUGGAGUGCAAUGGUGUGAUCUUGGCUCACUGCAACCUCCAACUACCAGGUUCAAGCAAUUCUCCUGCCUCAGCCUCCCGAAUAGCUGGGACUACAAGCGCAUGCCACCAUGCCAGGCUCAUUUUUGAAUUUUUAGUAGACACACGGUUUUGCCUUAUUGGCCAGGCUGGUCUCAAACUCCUCACCUCGGGACAUCCACUCGGCUUGGCCUCCCUAAAUGCUGGGAUUACAAGCAUGAGCCACUGCGCCUGACCAGUUUUUAAAUAAAGCACUUUAAAUGAGU
Molecule: long non-coding RNA, 378 nt
Filed under: Homo sapiens (human)
Lineage: Eukaryota; Metazoa; Chordata; Mammalia; Primates; Hominidae
Description: HSALNT0342090
Source: RNAcentral